GCAUGACGGAAGAGCCGUUUUCACAUCUCACAUCAGCAGCUCCAGAUGGCCAGCAGUUCUCCCAGCACGACUCCAGCCUACCGCAGCCAUAGGGGACACCUCAGUCUACAGCCAGGUGACACUGCAUGGAACUGCAGACACUGUGACCCUACGCGCUGCAGGAACCGAGCUCGCCUCCUCUGACCACAUGCCUGCAGCAAGACCUGGGGACAGGACGCCCGCUGUGCCCUCACUGGCUCCUCAUCACCACCCUGUGCUGCUCAGCCUCCUUACUGCCUUCUGCUCCCCCCCGCGGCAAUUAGUGCCCACUCAGCUAUAUUGAAACGUUCCCACCACGACGCAUCGUGAGCAGCUUCCACUUUUAACUUCGUCCUCCAGAAAUCCCACACCUGUGACGCUUUGCCCAUUGUCACAUUGCCGCUUCGUUUUGCAUUGAGCCCUACCCAGCGCUGCAGCCACAGGAACGGCAGCAGAAUCUCCAUCUCCCCGUACUGAUAACCUCUGUAUGGCCGCACCUCGGGGCUGCCCCCAGCACCCCAAAGCCCUUUCUGCAGACCUCCAUGCUCUUUGAUCCCCCGCCAUCUCAGCUCCGAGCCCACCACAGCACGGCAGCACCACACUUGUAGAAUAUCUCAGGUUGAAAGGACCCAUUAAGCCCAACUCCUGGUUCCUCGGAACCAGCCAAGAUCCAAACCCUGUGUCUGAGAGCGUUGGCCAAACUCUCCUUGAACUCUGGCAUGCGGGGCCGUGCCCACUGCCCUGGGCAGCCUGUUCCAUGCCCUGUGGGGCAGAGCCUUUCCCUGACCCCCCCUGCCCCUCCACUGACACAGCUCCGUGCCGUUCCCUUGGGUCCCAUCAUUGUCACCGUCCCAUGGCCAAGGCCACCUCCCCGCUCUGUCCCCAUCCCCCAUCCUUACAGCAGAUCAAGGCACCCACCACCCACCCCAAAUUCCCCACCAGCCCCAUCCGUGCCCUGGUGCUCCUCCAAACCCGCUCCCAUCUUGAGGCACAGCUCAGCUCUGUCUCGGAGCACUCCCAGCUCCGGACCCCUCCAGCAUUUGUUCCUAAGCAACCCUGGGAAUUCCCAAGGCACCAUUCAUUGCCAGCACAGAGAUCCUUUGUCCAGCGCUGCCACGGAUACGUAGACCUCUGCCUGUCCCACGCCGCAGGUUUCCAAAAACCAAACCGCUGCGGCCACAGCAGACGGGCACGGGGCGAUGCGCAGGAUGCCGGAUCAGCAACGGAGCACAUGAACUCAAAUCAAUGCCCGGUGUUUUUUACUGACUGCUCCCCACCGCACGCGGAGCAGCAACAGGAGAGAGAUGGCCAUGCUCCCGCAGCACUGCCAAGAACUCGGGCAGGUGGGACGAGCUCCUCGUACACGCUCCCGUGAAUCACCCCCUGUGAUCUGUGCUCUGAUUUUCAGGUGGUGCCGCAUGGAGCGAUGAGCCCUGAGGGUCCCUUCCAGUUCGGGAUAUUCCAUGUACUGGGAUUUCAGCCUCCCCGCGGGUUUGGGGGAGGCGAUGGGGAAGUCUGGGCUCUUGGGGGGGAGCCUGGGGUCUCCUUUAUGUUUGGGAGUGGCCUUGCUAUGGGGAUCGACGCAGACAUCAGUUUCCAGGCUGGGUUUUGCUGGGUGCUAUCUGAGCAGCACAUUUUUGCUCGCAGGGACUCCUCAGGAGAGAGCAUACGUUGGCUUUGCCAUCCUGCAAAUUCAGAGGGUGUUGUUUUCCUCUCAGGACCUGGCGGUGUCUUUCUGUUUUCCUUCCUUUUGCGGGCAGCUCCGCAGUCGCUCCUCUGCUUUCUGCCGCUGUCCCGGGGGCGCGGGGGGAGAUAACUCCUCCUUAUCUGGGGCUGUUUUUCUCUGCGGGACGUCAUUAUUCGGGGUGCUUCACCGCUGCAUUUUCACGGGGUUUAUUUUUCUGUUGCUUUUUUUUUUUGUUUUUUUUUUGUUUUUGUUUUUGUUUUUUUUUUUAAAAAGAGG
This is a long non-coding RNA of Numida meleagris (helmeted guineafowl), 1981 nucleotides long. The record is from Ensembl. Lineage: Eukaryota; Metazoa; Chordata; Aves; Galliformes; Numididae.